UACUGUGGGAAAAAAUUGUAGGGAAUUAAAACCCACAAAGAAACCUACACUCCGUUCUUAGUAAAUCAGGGCCAUUUUGCGGAAUUAUGGCAUGUGAUUUGGGGCUCAAGUAUGCAGCUCCAUUUUAGGGGUUAUCCUUCUUCCUCCAGGAACAAAGGGAAAGAAGACUCCUGAAACAUCACACUGGGACAAUCUGGAACAAUCCUUUGGUGUUCCUUUAUGGCAUAAAGUUUACAGUCCUUCCUCCAUUUAGGAAAGGAGAGGACCCCCAAUUGUCAAGGCGUACCCAAGUCUGAUGGUGGAAAAGUACACUUUUGGGAAAUCGUCUCUGUGUUUCAUGACUUGUAAAGAAUUCUGGGGGAAUGUAUCAUUGUGUUUGCAUAAGUUUCUGUCACAAAUACCAAAUACUAAAAUACCAUCAUAGUGCACCAUAGUUGAAAAGAGGGCAAGGCCUCCCAGAACAGGCAAGUCCAAAAACUUUCAGGCAGACUAUAGCUUGGCGAAAUUUAUGCCUACUCCUAACAGGUGUACAUUUCAUUUGGGGAGUGUGCAAAAUGUGCCAAAUUUAUAACAAGUGUUUGUUCUUUUUUAAUACAUUUUCCUAAAUUCACGUUUUUAGGUUCACGUGUUCACACUGUUACAGGGCUCUUCGUGUGUGUCCUAUGCUUACGUAUAACAUGGAGUACCCAUUCACUUUAAUGGACUAAACAUAGUCUACAAGUGAGAAGAUGAAUGUGGUGAAGUCACACAACAACAUGUUCUUAAUUGUUGGUGUCUGGGUGACAUUCUCCUCAGGUGACUCCGCUAUAAGUGACAUUCUUCUCAUGUGACCCCGCUAUUGGUAACAUUUUUCGGAGGUGACCCCCUAUGGGUUACACUUCCCUAAGGUGUCCUGCUAUGGGUGACAUUCUUCUCAGGUGACCCAGAUAUAAGUGACAUUAUUCUCAGGUGACCCCGCUUUGGGUAACAUUUUUCUCAGGUGGCCCCUAUGGGUGACACUUCCCUUAGGUGACCCACUAUGGGUGACAUUCUCCUCAGGUGACCCGCUGUGGCUGACAUUUUUCUCAGGUGACCCCCCUAUGGGUGACACUUCCCUAAGCCAACCUGCUAUAGGUGACAUUCUCCUCAGCUGACCCGCUAUGGGUGACAUUCUCCUCAGGUCACCCACUAUGGGUGACAUUCUCCUCAGGUGACCCGCUAUGGGUGACAUUCUCCUCAGGUGACCUGCUAUGGGGAUACAUUCUCCUCAGGUGACCCCCUAUGGGUGACACUUCCCUCAGGUGACCCGCUGUGGCUGACAUUCUCCUCUGGAGACUCUGCUAUAAGUGACAUUCUCCUCAGGUGACCCACUAUGGGUGACAUUCUCCUCAGGUGACGCCCGCUAUGGGUAACAUUUUUCUCAGUUGACCCCCUAUGGGUGACACUUCCCUAAGGUGACCCACUAUGGGUGACAUUCUUCUCAGGUACUCUGCUAUGGGUAACAUUUUUCUCAGGUGACCCUCUAUGGAUGACACUUCCCUAAGGUGACCCGCUAUGGGUGACAUUUUCCUCAGGUGACUCUGCUAUGGAUAACAUUUUUCACAGGUAACCCCCCUAUGGGUGACAUUCUCCUCAGGUGACCCGCUAUGGGUGACAUUCUCCUCAAGUGACCCGCUAUGGGUGACAUUCUCCUCAGGUGACCCGCUAUGGGUGACAUUCUCCUCAGGUGACCCGCUAUAGGUGACACUCUCCUCAGGUGGCCCGCUAUGGGUGACAUCCUUCUCGUAACCCGCAAUGGGUGACAUUCUCCUCAGGUGACCCGCUAUGGGUGACAUUCUCCUCAGGUGACCCCGCUAUGGGUGACAUUCUCCUCAGGUGACCCCGUUAUAAGUGACAUUCUCCUCAGGUGACCCACAAUGGGUGACAUUCUCCUCAGGUGUCCCGCUAUGGGUGACAUUCUCCUCAGGUGACCUCGCUAUGGGUGACAUUCUCCUCAGGUGACCCCGUUAUAAGUGACAUUCUCCUCAGGUGACCCGCAAUGGGUGACAUUCUCCUCAGGUGUCCCGCUAUGGGUGACAUUCUCCUCAGGUGACCCCGCUAUGGGUGACAUUCUCCUCAGGUGACCCGCUAUGGGUGACAUUCUCCUCAGGUGACCCGCUAUAGGUGACACUCUCCUCAGGUGGCCCGCUAUGGGUGACAUCCU
This is a long non-coding RNA of Hyla sarda, 2182 nucleotides long. RefSeq lists it as uncharacterized. Lineage: Eukaryota; Metazoa; Chordata; Amphibia; Anura; Hylidae. The transcript is spliced from 3 exons. The record is from RefSeq and is a predicted model, not a curated record.